GCAAGUCGAACGGCAGCACGAGAGCUUGCUCUUGGUGGCGAGUGGCCAUCGGGUGAGUAAUAUAUCGGAACGUAUCCAAUAAUGGGGGAUAACUAAUCGAAAGGUUAGCUAAUACCGCAUACGCCCUACGGGGGAAAGCAGGGGAUCUUCGGACCUUGCGUUAAUGGAGCGGCUGAUAUCUGAUUAGCUAGUAGGUGAGGUAAAGGCUCACCUAGGCUUCGAUCAGUAGCUGGUCUGAGAGGACGACCAGCCACACUGGAACUGAGACACGGUCCAGACUCCUACGGGAGGCAGCAGUGGGGAAUUUUGGACAAUGGGCGCAAGCCUGAUCCAGCCAUUCCGCGUGAGUGAAGAAGGCCUUCGGGUUGUAAAGCUCUUUCGCAAGGGAAGAAACGAUACCGACGAAUAAUCGGUGUUAAUGACGGUACCUUGAUAAGAAGCACCGGCUAACUACGUGCCAGCAGCCGCGGUAAUACGUAGGGUGCGAGCGUUAAUCGGAAUUACUGGGCGUAAAGCGUGCGCAGGCGGUUUUGUAAGUCAGAUGUGAAAUCCCCGGGCUCAACCUGGGAACUGCGUUUGAAACUACAAGGCUAGAGUAUGGUAGAGGGGGGUAGAAUUCCACGUGUAGCAGUGAAAUGCGUAGAGAUGUGGAGGAAUACCAAUGGCGAAGGCAGCCCCCUGGACUAAUACUGACGCUCAUGCACGAAAGCGUGGGGAGCAAACAGGAUUAGAUACCCUGGUAGUCCACGCCCCUAACGAUGUCUACUAGUUGUUGGG
RNAcentral lists this ribosomal RNA (777 nucleotides) under uncultured beta proteobacterium. RNAcentral's name for it is "bacterial SSU rRNA". It matches the Rfam family "Bacterial small subunit ribosomal RNA", at positions 57 to 827 of the family's 1533-position model. Lineage: Bacteria; Pseudomonadati; Pseudomonadota; Betaproteobacteria. The record is from RNAcentral.